This 8242-nucleotide long non-coding RNA is filed under the name Gallus gallus (chicken). Lineage: Eukaryota; Metazoa; Chordata; Aves; Galliformes; Phasianidae. The record is from RNAcentral.
UGCAUGUGUUAGAUGGAUUUGUUUAGAAUACUUACAUGAUGGAUGUAUACAGUCAUAAAACUUUUAGUGCAUCUGUUCCUGCACAUUAUUUAUGCUACUUUAUAAAAACCUGAAGAUGGCAAAUUGGGCAUGCUUACCAUAACAUUCUCAAACUGGGAAAGCUGCAGAACAUUUUUCCUACAAGUGUUCACUGCCAUGAUACAAAACAAGUAUGUGCAAACUGCAAGGUCCCUAAAAAUAGCAUUUAAUGGAUUUAUUUACAGAAAGAUGUCACUAUCUGUUUAAAUAUGCAAAGAAUAAGCCUCCCAAAGUUUAUAACAUAGAACAAUAUCCACCACAUGCGCCUCCUCCAUGUCCUUCUUCCUUGUUUGAUAAUUUUACACCUUUGUUUUGGCUCUCACUCUCCCACAGUCCAGGAGUCUGAAUGAUUUUUUCCACAAGUUCUUCAAAGGCACACUGUACACCGUCGCAUGUUUUUGCACUUGCCUCUAUGAACAACAUGGAAUGUUUUCUUGCAAAUUUGAGACCUUCGUUUCUGUCAACUUCACGGUUUUCCUUAUCAAUCUUGUUUCCAACAAGCAUUUUCACUAUGUCAUUCCUUGUGCAGUACGUUUCCAGUUCAUUUAACCAGUUAUCCAGCUUGACAAAAGUAUCUCUUCUUGUAACAUCAUAAACUAGAAUAACACCCUGUGCACCUCUAUAGUAACUGGGUGUUAGUGUUCUGAACCGCUCCUGACCCGCAGUAUCCCAUAUUGCUAGUUUAGCUUUGUUUCCAUCAACUGAAAUAGUUUUCACCUUGAAGUCUACACCAAUUGUUGCUGCAAGUUCUGGGUCAAAUGUAUCAUCUGUGAAUCGCAGCAGAAGGCUGGACUUGCCGACGCCGCUCUCGCCGAUAAUGAGAAUCUUCAGCGUGGUCAACACGUCCUCGUCCAUCCCGUCGGCGCGCCCGGCCCUGCCCGGCCCCGACCGACAGACGCUCCCUACACAGGCUGCGGCCACACCGCCUGCGCCUGCGCGCCCCGCCGCCCCUUUGCACUCGCCCCCUCGCUGCCUGCCCCGCGCAUGCGCCGCAGGUGUGCCAGCAGAGGGGAGAGGAGGAAAACACCCCCCGCCCCUUCGGUUGACGUAUGCGCAGAGCGGAGGGAGCUGAGCUGGUGUUUACAGCGCGGUGGGGGAGGAGCGAGGUGAAGGGAAGGUGCUUAUGUGCGGCUCUGUGAGGCUUUGGCGUUCUCGUUUUGGUGUUCCCGGGGCGUCCCGCUGGUGUCGGACCUGUCGUCGGGGGAGAGAGAGAGGCCUAACUGUGGGCCUUCAGUUUCCGCCGUCGGGAAUCGGUGAAAAAAGAAACCAGAUUAGGAUUGCAGACGGGAAGGAGAAAGCUUGAGCCGCAGUGACGGCCAGCUGCCUGUAUCCCCAGCGCUAAUGCUGGAGAACGGCCGGUCAGCCCACCACCGACACAUGGGGCAUUUAACCGCCGGCCCCUCAUGUCCCAAGGCUGGCAGGGCGGGGGUCGGUGGCGGGAUGUCCGUCGUGCCAGCAGGCUGCCUCUGGGCGUGCCACCGCGGGCACUGGUUGGCCAGUGGUUACGCUCAGCCUUUUGUUUCCCAUCUCCUACAUCUGUAUGCUUUGACAGUAAUAUUUUAUUUCGAGGUAAAUCUGAGUCCUUUUUCUGAAUAUGCUUCAUUAAGAAAAUGAAGUGAGAGCAGAAAGGACUGGCCCCUGCCAGUUCCUUGAUGUGCUUGCAGUGUGUGCUCCUCGACAUAGUUAGAAUGGAAGCUGUGUGGCUCCUGAGGGAGCUUUUAGAAAGAUAACAAGGCUGCAAAUAAACUGUAAAAAAACAUACCCAGCAGAGCCCUUCCAUAAAAACCCCAAAUGUUUUUCUAACUUGAUUGCAGUGAGAAAGGCUCUUCAUAACCAGUCUGGCUACCCUGCUAUUACAGCUCAGUGCCUCCCUCAGACCGUGUGAAUCUCUUUUACUAUUAAUCAAGUGUAUGUCUGAUGUCUGAAAUUGUCCUUAUUGUAGCUCCUAGGCCAGCAGGACAGCAUCUUCUCAUCUGCAAAUACUGGCUUUAGCAUACACAAAAAGCCUGGGGCUCACACCUUGAGUACUGUCUUCAGUUUUGGUCCCCUCAGUACAAGAAAGACAUCGAGGCCAUGGAGUGUGUCCAGAGAAGGGCAACGAAGCUGUGAGGGGUCUGGAGCACAAGGCUUGUGGGGAGCAGGUGAAGGAGCUGGGAUUGUUCAGGCUGCAGAAGAGAAGGCUCAGGGGAUACCUUAUCGCUCUACAACUGCCGGGAAGGAGGCUGUGGUGAGGUGGAGGUCAGCCUCUUCUCCCAUGUAACAAGCACUAUUACGAGAGGGAAUGGCCUCAAUCUGCACUCAUCCAAGUUGAACAUUAGGAAAAAAUUCUUCUCUGAAAGAGUGGUCAGGCACUGGAACGGGCUGUCCAGGGAGCUGGUGGAGUCACUGUCCCUGGAGGUGUGAAGAAGUGUUUACAUGUUGUACUAAGGGACAUGGUUUAGUGGGGAAAUAUUGGUGGUAGGUAAAUGGCUGGACUGGAUGCUCUUGGAAAUCCUUUCCCACCUUGGUGAUUCUAUGACUAUGAAAGACAUCAGCCCCCGUCAGCGUUUUGCACAAAGGGGGUGAGACUGUUUUACUGUUUUUGUCAGCGUGAAGACUUCAGAGGGCACAGCUCUGUAGCAGCACAGAGUUUUUUUUGCAGCACAAUUGCCUUCAGCUGGGUUAUUGGAUCAAGACAGUGACCAUUCUUUUAUGUAGUAAACCGUUCUGGUGCCAUAUGCCAUACACUUACCGCCUUCAGGAUCUGCUGUCCUGCCUCUUUUGCCUCAGAAAACAAGCUCCUAAGAUGAAUACAAUAACAAUAAUUAUGACUUAUCAAGGCAUGUUCUAUAAUUAAGCCUGUGCAAAUAGCCGUGUGUAUUCUAGGACUGUGCCUGUUUACUUGUAAUAAUUUGAGAUUUGUUGAAGGUGUGAUUUUGUUUUCUUGGUGUGGAUUACGCUUUGCAGUGGUCUGGGAGGAGAGUGUGUUUAUGCUCUGUAGCUUAUAGUGCCGUGUUAAGGAGCUGUGGGAUCUUAGGGUGAAACAGAAUUUGAAUUUGAAUUUGGAAGGUGGACCCAAACAGCAAAGUAUUCUGCUAUGGAUAUCAAAUCCUUUGAAGUUAAAGGGUAUUUGUUUUUAUUUUUUUUGUUAUUUGUUUUCUGUUGUUUCCCAUUAUAGCCAUAGAAUCAAACUAUUCAAUAUGGGUAUUAGUCGCGAUUCAAAUUAUAAUUCUGUAUGUCACACAGAAGGAAGAAUUUUUCAGUAUGGCAUGCAGAUCCUUCACCUUAAUGAUAAACAGUCACAUGAAAGCAGGCAAAACUUGCCCUGCAUGAGAUGUCUUGUUCGUGUGUAUGGAAGUGAUGCUUUAGACCUUCCUCAGCAAGACCCUUAAGAACUGGUGUUUCUUUGUGUUGUCCCUGUACAGACUGAGCCGUGUAGUCAUCUGACAUCAAAUCUGUCUGCGGCAGUUGACCUGUUUGCAGUCUGUGACACCUGUUUUAACUCCAAAAAGCCAGGCCAUGUUAUGCGUGUACCAGCUGUACUCCAGAAGCCAGCGAUAAUGGAUGAUUAAAGCAUUUCAGACAUAGUUCCUUCAAAGUGAAGUAUUAUUCACUAAGGUACAUACAACCAUUAGAACUAAAUAUCAACUUAUUUUGCCAUGAAGCUCGUGUAGGAUAUUUCCAGUGAAGCUGUCUCUGAUUUGGGAGAGACAUCUAGCCUGCUGUAAUUCAUGUCUGUCUGUCUGAUUUCCUGCAUGCUUUUCAGGACUUGUCAGGAGUCCUUGGUUAUGACAACUAACCCAAAUCUUUUCUUUAAUAGUUGUGGAAAUUUUCACCUGAUUGUCUUUUAUGAUCCCUUUUGAUCCUGGCCUCAGAUUUUGGAGGGCCAAGCCACAACAGCAUCAUUAGCCUUGCCUGAUUAUUAUUCUUCCUAGAAGAACAAUGGAGAGCUUUCGACUGCAUUUUUAUCUCCUAUUCCCUUUAUUCUUGAUUUCUUUCAGUGAUCUCUUCUAGUUUCUAUCAGAAUAGUACCAAACAGAUUAACUUGUCUGUAUAUAAUAUCUAUAAAUUAUUAUACUUACACGCCUCAUUCCUCAUAAACUACUAAGAGAAAUGGUAGAAAACUAGCAUAACUGGUUCCAAGUCAGCUCCUCCCACAUAUGGAGGUGUAUAGUGAAAGAAAGAUGAAAUUUGUACUUCAGAGUACUUCUCUCCAUGCUUUUAUAGUCUUUCAUAAAAGCUGCCCAGUUCCUGACCAGAUCCAGGACUCAGAGAAACAGAAAAGUGUAAGCUCCAUCUCAGCUGCAGCGAGAGUACGAGAUCAGUGCUCCUAAGGUUUUGAUUACUUCAGGGAUGUGACAAAGAAAGGAAAACAUCUUGACAAAGAUAUCUCCUGUAAUUUCAGUAUUGAAAUUACCUGUCCAAUAUAUUAAGCAUUUGGGACAGUUUUUGUCGCAGUUGUGCUCCCCAAGUCUUGGAACGUCCAGAUCCCACUGGUAUAAAAUUGCAACUCAGUGGAGAACCCAAAGCACCUUGUCUCAAUUAAUUCUCAAUUUAAGGAAAAGAGAGAUUGUAGUCCUUUUGUUUUCAGCCAUUUCAUUGACCAGGAAAACAGGUCAUUGAGACUAAUUGUGAUUGCCUCUCUCAAAAGAUGGGCAGUUACUUACAGCCCCUUCCUUAGUGCUGAGAUCUGUAAUGACAGGGACGUUGAAUUUUGUGUGUCCUCAGGGGACCCUGGCACCUUUGCACAGCUGUGUUCCCCUGGACUGCCACUGAGGGCAAGCGAGGGCUAGAAGGACAUCCAUCCAGCUCAUUCCUGCUGUAGUAUACCCUUAGCGACAAAGACGAGUGUGUCAUACAUGAGUCAGUAACAUGAGAGACAACCUGGAAUAAACAAGGCCUCAAUCUGUGAAUUCUGUGCCUAAGAGGCUUUGGUCAGAUCACUUGAACUAUCUGCCUUAGCUUCUGUAGCUUAAACAUGGAGAUAAUUUAAUUGUGUUUACCACAGAAGAUGGCAGAAAGAUCAAGGACUGAUUUCAAAAGGGAGCCAGUGGUUUGUGUUUUCCCUGUCAGCACUGUCUGGUUUUACAUGAGCUGUGAAUUUCACGAUCCAAGAGUGGCUACUUAGCCGCAUGGCUUUCCUCUUAUCUCUUUAAUCACCAAUACUGUCACAAGUUAAAACGCUUUGAAAUUUACAGGUUCUGUUUAGGCUUUUUAGGUACACUGAUGGACGUCUUUAGAUCCCAAAGUCCUUAAUUCAUAGGUACUUUUAAGGAUUUUCUCAGUUGUGCCAACUCGGCACGAUGUCCAGCAGAAGUGGAGAAGCUCAGCCAGUUCAGAAAGAUGCUGACAGCAAUCUACCGGUCUCCUGUUGCAAAGACACAUUCUUCUAUCCCAUUUCCAGAUUGUGUGGCUGACCCAAAGUAUAUAUUGUCCUGACAGUGAGUCAGCAGUUAUGAUUCACAAUGGAACAAGCCUGAUUACUAAGCUCAUCAGUGACUCCUAGCAGAAACAACAUGUGUACACAUGCUCAAUCUUUUUCUCUUCUUCAUGCAGUAAUUUGCAAAGUUGGUAAGAGUAACUGUCAUCACGUGUCAGAUUCAGGGAAGUUCCUUUUCUGCAUGACAUCCUUAAACAUAGUGACACAUCCUUAUGAUUUCAUAUUCAGCAGAUAGCAGCAAGGAGUAAAAGUACUGCAUAAGUCUCAGAACUCUGAGAAGGACUUCUCUGGAGACCACAAUGUAAAUGAGAUUACUGUGGUUGGCGACUCCUUUUCGGAAGAAUCCAGCUUAUUUUUAUGAAGCAGCUGCAUGAUAUUUAUCUCUCCCCUCAUCUCCAACAGCAGCCAGAGCUGGGGACUCACAUCUGUUGAUCCUCUCAGUGCCUGCUUACUUUCUGUGCACAGAAAGGGGAGAUUUAAGACUAUAAGUACAUUAGCUGUUGACAAUUAGAAUACACUGCUUAUAGUCAACUCAGUUUUAAGAAGUGGAUUACACAUGUUGGAGUCAUAACAGACAAGAGUCAGCUGUUUGGAGGAGAACAAGAAAAACAGUGUUUUGGCCACUAAAAUGCCAAGGCAUAUAUACCUUAGGUAUAUGCAUGACAGUGAUAUAACAGGAUUUUUCAGAGAAAACCAACAAGUGUUUUGUAGAUCGUUAAGUGUAUCUUGCAUAAUGAUCAUGAGUAGAUUCCAGAUUUUGUGCUAAAGUAACCUGCUUGCUGAAGGUAAUUAAAAAACUAAUAAUAAUAAAAAGUAAAAAAAGAUUAGUUGGUUGCUUUGAAAUGCUGUUAUAUUGGUAAAUACAUGGUGUAAUGUUCAAGAUACACCACAUCUUCCUUCUCUACUGGAAGACGAUGAAAAGGCUUGCCACCUCCUAGUUCCAUUCAAUUUUGUGAGAUGAAUCGAUUAAUCACUUAAUCCCACUUAAUGCAAGCAGUUGUCUCAAAAAUGGCAUUUUAUCUUCCUGCAUCAUGUCAUGAAUCUUUAAACUAAGGACAGCUUUUAAGACUGGAUGACCUAAAUAUUCCUUUUUAAAUGUCUCUGAGGUAACUACAGAGUUAUUUAAAUAAUGAUAUGGAAAUAGAUUCUUGUUUAUGAUUGUUAGAUUCCUUACAAUACUUUAAUUAUAUUUUAAAUAAGAAGAAAACAGGUUUGAUAUUUGAGGUACAUCUAGCACCGACAGUACAUCAACAAUGAAAAAGGUAAGACAACAGCUUUCAAAGGGCAAAGAAAGAACAACAGAGCUUGGGUAUUAGUUUUCCUGCAGUCCAACUUUACAUGUACUUCACAAACACUGAACAGUUUGUGCUGUGAGUUGUUCUUUGUUCAAGUGUAUUUGUAUCCAGUGCAGCACAGUGUCUAAUAUAUUUACCAUUAAAAUCAGAAGACAGGAAAAAAAAUCAAAGAAUAUCUGACAAACCCAGUUCACAUGCAGUAUUCCCUCUGAAUAUUAGUGAAAUAUAAAGUAGUAGAGCAUUUUCCAAAGCUUGCUGUUUCUAUGUUGUGUCAUGAAUUUUUCAAAAGCAACUUUAGGGUUUGUUUUGGACUUCCAAUGUUGGUGGUAGAGCUAAAGAGGCUUUCUGUGAAUACAGUAAAUUUGCCAAAGAAGAUAAGGUAAGCACGUGUCUGUGUGGAGUACUUUUUACAUUAGCAAAAUCUCUUAUUUCCCACAAGCAAGACAAUUGGGAGUCCUUCUUAGAAAGCAGUUGUUGAAAGAACUUCUCAUCUCUAAUGAGGUUUUACUUUAAGUGAUCAUUUCAAGGGAGGAAAAUCAGGAAUUGAGUUAUUUUGCAUUUCAAAAAUAAUGUAUUUAUGUAACUUUCUCCAGUUGCUUCUAGUACUUAACAUGGAUAACAGCGAAGCAGGGAAGAGAUAUCCCUACUUGGGAUUGUCUUAUCCAUAAUCCCUUCUGAAGGUUUAACAUACCUCAUCUAGCCUUUGGUUUUAUGUGCUGAUGGGAUUAGCUGUCAGAAUGUCUCUGGGUGGAUUAAGUAACCACUGUCAUCAGUAUCUCACUCUUUGCACAACACUGUAUGAAGCAAUCAUGAAAAAUCUGAGGACCUGGUGGGCAAAGAGCAGAGCUACAGCAUCAAGGGAGUGACUGCCAAGUAAGUCAAACAACGAUCUGUAUUAAAGCUGUCACAGUCACUGGAAGAAAUGCACACAGAUAGGUGAAUUCAAAUGGGGGCAACCAGUUUUACUGGCUCCAACCAAAGCCCAUCUGUCACCAGGAAUGGUAGUGUCCUCAGCAAGACCAUGUAAUGGUACUUCCCCAGAAUGUUAGUGCAUCCUUCAGCAGUUUGUGACCCAGGACUUUCUAAGCCUAUAGUGAUAGUAUCUUCCUCUAUAAUACCUACAGUUCUCUUCAAUAAUAAUUGUAUUUUUCUUCACAGAAAUGAAUUUCUCAUCCAUAUGUAUUGAAACCAUAAUAGCACAUAAUACACAUAAUAGUACUCUACACCUGCUACUUUCAUUUGAUUUCUCUUCUCAGAAUAGAAAACGAGCAACUAUAUAUCAGCUUAGUCCACACCAUGCAUGAUUUUAUAGAUUUCUAUCAUAUCCUCUGAUAGUUUUGUGGGGGUUUUUUAAUAGCGAGCGAAAUCCUGAUGUACCUAAUCACUCCUCAUGUGGGUAUCAUUGCAAUUUUAGUUAUCCUAUUUUCACUUUGCUGUACAGUCACUUGCC